Molecule: ribosomal RNA, 1467 nt
Filed under: uncultured prokaryote
Description: partial 16S ribosomal RNA
Rfam family: Bacterial small subunit ribosomal RNA
Source: RNAcentral
AACGAACGCUGGCGGCGUGGAUUAGGCAUGCAAGUCGAGCGAGAAAGGGGUAGCAAUACCCCGAGUAAAGCGGCGAACGGGUGAGUAACAGGUGCGUAGAUAACCUGCCCUUCAGUUUGGGAUAACUUUCUGAAAAGAAGGCUAAUACCGAAUAAAACUAAGAGACUAGUGUUUUUUAGUUAAAAGAUUUAUCGCUGGGGGAUGGGUCUGCGUACCAUUAGCUAGUUGGUAGGGUAAAGGCCUAGCAAGGCUACGAUGGUUAGCGGGUCUGAGAGGAUGAUCCGCCACACUGGAACUGAGACACGGUCCAGACUCCUACGGGAGGCAGCAGUGGGGAAUUUUGCGCAAUGGGCGAAAGCCUGACGCAGCAAUACCGCGUGAGUGAAGAAGGCCCUUGGGUCGUAAAGCUCUUUUAUAAGGGAAGAUAAUGAGGGUACCAAUGGAAGAUAAUGACGGUACCUUAGGAAUAAGCACCGGCUAACUCCGAGCCAGCAGCUGCGGUAAUACGGAGAGUGCAAGCGUUGAUCGGAUUUACUGGGCGUAAAGGGUGCGUAGGCGGCAUAGCAAGUUAAGGGUGAAAUCCCGGGGCUCAACUCCGGAACUGCUCUUAAAACUGCUAAGGCUAGAGUAGGGUAGAGGCAAGCGGAAUUGGUAGUGUAGCGGUGGAAUGUGUAGAUAUUACCAAGAACAUCGGUGGCGAAGGCGGCUUGCUGGGCCCUCACUGACGCUGAGGCUCGAAAGCGUGGGGAGCGAACGGGAUUAGAUACCCCGGUAGUCCACGCUGUAAACGUUGUGCACUAGGUGUGGGGGGUAUCGACCCCUCCUGUGCCGCCGCUAACGCAUUAAGUGCACCGCCUGGGGAGUACGAUCGCAAGUGUGAAACUCAAAGGAAUUGACGGGGGCCCGCACAAGCGGUGGAGCAUGUGGUUUAAUUCGAGGCAACGCGAAGAACCUUACCCAGACUUGAACAGGUGGGUAAACCCCUGGAAACAGGGGCUGGUAGCAAUACCGACCCAGUAGAGGUGCUGCAUGGCUGUCGUCAGCUCGUGUCGUGAGAUGUUGGGUUAAGUCCCGCAACGAGCGCAACCCUUGUCGUUAGUUGCCAGCGCGUCAUGGCGGGAACUCUAAGGAGACUGCCGGUGUUAAGCCGGAGGAAGGUGGGGAUGACGUCAAGUCCUCAUGGCCUUUAUAUCCAGGGCUACACACGUGCUACAAUGGUGACUACAAAGAGUUGCCAAGCCGCGAGGUGGAGCCAAUCCCUCAAACCCGGUCCCAGUUCAGAUUGCAGUCUGCAAUUCGACUGCAUGAAGUUGGAAUCGCUAGUAAUCGCGGAUCAGCACGCCGCGGUGAAUGCGUUCCCGGGCCUUGUACACACCGCCCGUCACACCACGAAAGUCGGUUGUUCCAGAAGUCGCUGCCGGAACCGCAAGGACCAAGGCGCCGAAGGAAUGGCUGGCAAUUGGGGUG